RNAcentral lists this ribosomal RNA (420 nucleotides) under uncultured bacterium. RNAcentral describes it as "bacterial SSU rRNA". It matches the Rfam family "Bacterial small subunit ribosomal RNA", at positions 355 to 774 of the family's 1533-position model. The record is from RNAcentral.
UAAGGAAUAUUGCUCAAUGGGAGAAAUCCUGAAGCAGCAACGCCGCGUGGAGGAUGAAGGGUCUAUGACUUGUAAACUCCUGUAAAGAAGGAAAAAAUUCCCAUUUGAUGGGAGAUGAUGGUACUUCUGGAGUAAGCCCCGGCUAACUACGUGCCAGCAGCCGCGGUAAUACGUAGGGGGCAAGCGUUUUCCGGAUUUACUGGGUGUAUAGGGUGCUCAGGCGGAUUUGUAAGUCAGAGGUGAAAUCUUACAGCUUAACUGUGAAACUGCCUUUGAUACUGCAAGCCUAGAGUAUGGAAGAGAGUGAUGGAAUAUCUGGUGUAGCAGUGAAAUGCGUAGAUAUCAGAUAGAACACCAAUGGCGAAGGCAGUCACUUGGUCCAUUACUGACGCUAAAGCACGAAAGCGUGGGUAGCAAACA